Molecule: ribosomal RNA, 497 nt
Filed under: uncultured bacterium
Lineage: Bacteria
Description: partial 16S ribosomal RNA
Rfam family: Bacterial small subunit ribosomal RNA
Source: RNAcentral
GAUGAACGCUGGCGGCGUGCCUAAUACAUGCAAGUCGAGCGAACGGACGAGAAGCUUGCUUUUCUGAUGUUAGCGGCGGACGGGUGAGUAACACGUGGAUAACCUACCUAUAAGACUGGGAUAACUUCGGGAAACCGGAGCUAAUACCGGAUAAUAUUUUGAACCGCAUUGUUCAAAAGUGAAAGACGGUCUUGCUGUCACUUAUAGAUGGAUCCGCGCUGCAUUAGCUAGUUGGUAAGGUAACGGCUUACCAAGGCAACGAUGCAUAGCCGACCUGAGAGGGUGAGCGGCCACACUGGAACUGAGACACGGUCCAGACUCCUACGGGAGGCAGCAGUAGGGAAUCUUACGCAAUGGGCGAAAGCCUGACGGAGCAACGCCGCGUGAGUGAUGAAGGUCUUCGGAUCGUAAAACUCUGUUAUUAGGGAAGAACAUAUGUGUAAGUAAAUGUGCACAUCUUGACGGUACCUAAUCAGAAAGCCACGGCUAACUACGUG